This 429-nucleotide ribosomal RNA is filed under the name Actinomycetes bacterium. RNAcentral's name for it is "Actinobacteria bacterium partial 16S ribosomal RNA". It matches the Rfam family "Bacterial small subunit ribosomal RNA", at positions 355 to 776 of the family's 1533-position model. Lineage: Bacteria; Bacillati; Actinomycetota; Actinomycetes. The record is from RNAcentral.
UAGGGAAUCUUCCGCAAUGGGCGAAAGCCUGACGGAGCAACGCCGCGUGAGUGAUGAAGGUCUUCGGAUCGUAAAACUCUGUUAUUAGGGAAGAACAAAUGUGUAAGUAACUAUGCACGUCUUGACGGUACCUAAUCAGAAAGCAACGGCUAACUACGUGCCAGCAGCCGCGGUAAUACGUAGGUGGCAAUCGUUAUCCGGAAUUAUUGGGCGUAAAGCGCGCGUAGGCGGUUUUUUAAGUCUGAUGUGAAAGCCCACGGCUCAACCGUGGAGGGUCAUUGGAACCUGGGAAACUUGAGUGCAGAAGAGGAAAGUGGAAUUCCAUGUGUAGCGGUGAAAUGCGCAGAGAUAUGGGGGAACACCAGUGGCGAAGGCGACUUUCUGGUCUGUAACUGACGCUGAUGUGCGAAAGCGUGGGGAUCAAACAGG